Molecule: ribosomal RNA, 188 nt
Rfam family: Bacterial small subunit ribosomal RNA
UUUAUGGAGAGUUUGAUCCUGGCUCAGGACGAACGCUGGCGGCGUGCCUAAUACAUGCAAGUCGAGCGCAGGAAACUGACGGAACUCUUCGGAGGGAAGGCAGCGGAAUGAGCGGCGGACGGGUGAGUAACACGUAAGGAACCUGCCUCAAGGAUUGGGAUAACUCCGAGAAAUCGGAGCUAAUACCG